Molecule: non-coding RNA, 2543 nt
Organism: Drosophila melanogaster (fruit fly)
Lineage: Eukaryota; Metazoa; Arthropoda; Insecta; Diptera; Drosophilidae
Source: Ensembl
CAUGAAUCUGAAGUUCCAGGAAUGCCUAAAGUCAAGGAACGAUCCUUUCAAUUAGCCGACUGAGCCCUUCUCCAAGGUAUGACAAAUUUACCUCCAUCUCCUCCCAGGACGACUGCUGAGAAAUGGCAAUUUCCUGCGACUGUGACUGAGUCCACACACAUGUGCUUCUGAGUCCGACUUCUCGACAUGUCCUGGAGUCUGGACCUCUCGUCCUGUUUUCCGUCUGCCUCCUGGCCGCAAAAUUGGUAAUUUUCUAGUACAUUUAUUUCCACAUGUCAGGCCAGUCAAGUUGGUAACUCCAGACCGCAUCUUCAUGUUGAUGGACAUGUGAGUGGGCCUCCAUGAGAUGGGACAGUGGUAGGCUUACGAACCGGAUGCCGGAAUUGUUGCAGGCUUUUAAGAUACUUUCGAGUAGGGCCAGAAACAUUUCAGGGUAUCUCAUAGUCGGAUGUCCAAACAUAACGUACAUGUCGCUGUUCUGUUUUUUAAUUGGACCCAUCUCGGAUCCCGCCAAUAUUUCGAGCAGCGGAACCGCAAACUAGGAGUAACUAACGGCCAGCGGGCGGCGCUGUCAAAGUCAGCUGCUAUAUCCUAUAUCGCAUAUUCCAUAUCCAUAUUCCCCCGACUUCCCCGACCUCGCGGGCAACGUCUAAAACGUUGAAAAAUUCCGAAUUGACUGCCGAGGACCCCUGGAUGUCCGUGGCCGAGUCGACCAUUGAAGGCGUUUGCGGUUGGACUUCUCGUUUCGGGCCGGACGUUUAUUGAACAUUUUUACUUGCGGUCGAGGAGAAAUGGUAUAUGGCUAAAAAGCGGGAAGUCGGGCUGGCCGGAAGGAUGGGAUUCCUUUAUUAAUUUUUGUGUGAGCUCGUCUCGAUUUCACGGACGGCCUUAAAUGCAAAUCGCUGCAAAUGGGAUUUGUUGAAAAGGAGGUUUACGGCCCGGCAGCCAGAAGCCAGCCGAAAUCUGUGAGCUGGCAAAAUUGGCCAAAAAAAAAAAAUGCGUUAAAUGCAAAUUGGAUAAGAUGUCGUGUCAGAGGAGCGAACACUUGCAUGUGGCUGCCAAGGCGGAUAUCCUUCGCAUCUUUCCCAUCACAUGAAACGGGGGCUGAAGCCGAUCCGAGCCGAGCUGGGCCAAGAAAUCCGAGGAGUGGAAACUUUAAAGUGGAUUAUAUCUCGAGGAUGUCCUCCGGAGCGGCCAAGUGCUAUCUCCUGCGCUUUGGAAACAUAAAUCCGUGAGUUUUUGCCAGCGAAAUUUAUGGCGCUCGCGACACUCGCGAAAGUUUUGGCGGCGGCGGCGGCAUUGUUGUAUUUAUGACCGCGACAUGACCUGCUCACAUAAACGGGCCACGGGUCCUGAAUUGCGAAUCCUGAGAUCCGAAAGUGUUGCCCGCCGUACGUGCGAGUCCUGCUCGGAAAUUGGAUUUGCCGGAGGAUGCGGAGCAUCCUUGGCGCGCUAAGCCGCGCCUCUUAAAUCUGCACGCCUGUCAAUUUAUGUUUUUGAUCGAAAUUUAUGUCCUAAUGAGCCGAAUGCAGCGCAGAAAUUACAAGGCUCCCAGGAAAAUUCUCGGAUUGAGGAAACGGCAAGAACAGGAGCCUGGCACUUUGCCCCAAUUCCAAUCAAAGUUAAUUACGUGGAACAUUCACAGUUCGAGCCGACCGGCGAUUUACAUUCGCCAACCCCCAGAGGAAAAAAUCGGAAGCCAAGUCCAUUCAACCGGAUGCAUAACGUCUGGAUUCUGCUUAUGAGUGCGAAUCUAUAGGAAGUGUGUUUGCCGAAUGUCUCCAGGCCGAAACUGAAUGGUCAGUCCUGGACGUGGCCAUAAUUAUUGUUAUGUUAAUGGCGACCAUCGGCAGGGGAAACUAAGAGCAGCUUUCGGGGUUGAUUGGGCCUCCUCUGGGCCAUAAAGCCAUCACCAUGAUUUUGGAUAUCGACAAAUGUUGUUUGUCCAUGGGUUCUGUGUUUGCCAUGCGACUUUGCAUAAAAAUGGACGAGUGGUUGGCGUCUUGUUUCGGGGGAAAUAUUUAUGAAGCCUUCGUCAGAAAUCAAAGUCAACUGUUUAGGGCGUGGAGAAAAUAAAGUAUAUCAUAUAUUUAUUAUUCAAAAAAAAAAAAACGCCGAACAAUGUUGGGUAUAAUAGUACUAUCUUUAUAAUUGUUAAAAAUCUUACAAUUUGACUACUAUUUCAAGCGAGGAAAAUGCUUUUGUUUUUCCUGCUAAGUGCCUAAAAGUGUGCCACACUUUUCUGGCGCCGCCAUUAAGUUCACCGCUACUUAUCCUGCAGGAAAGGGGCGUGGCGUGCGCACUCCUUUUUUAAGAUUCGCCACAGCUUUCCGAAAAGGGGGCGAUCUGCAUCUGAUGCACAAGUCAGCGGUCCUGAUAGGUGUGACACAUGCCGUGAUUGAUGAAAUGUUUGCCCAUAAGCCCAACCGAAAAGAGGAAGAACCCGAGGAGCCUGGACCACCAACUAAUUUCCACAUUUUUCACAUUUACGAAGACAAAUUGAGGUGCGAACUUGGGUUGAGGCAAUAAAAGUGCCGAAUAUC